GAGGUGAGGCGGUGUCAUGUGACCUGCCUGGUCCCGUGGAGAGCCGGGCAGCGUGGGGGCAGAGGCUGGCCCUCCUGAUCUGCACCCAGGCGGCUUCUACACCACCCUGCAGCAGGCCUGGCCACCGGCCUCAGCGCUUCUGGGAGAAGGUCAGCCAGGUGGAAGAUGGAGAGGGCUUCUGGACUGAGCCCUGGAGGGGGGCUAGGGGCCACCAGCAGGCAGAUGAGCCCUGGGACCCAGCUGGCCAACCCACCUGACCACGGUGACAAGGACUGCUUGGGAAGGAUAAGCCCAGGUUCGGGAAAGCAAAUUCAGGCUGCAGGACAGCUGCCCGGGCCCCCCACAAGCCUGGCACCAGCCCAGGGAAGACUGAGGAGCCUCACUCCAUGGGGACUGCAAACACCUGAACACAGCGAACCUGAAGGUAUAGGGCAUCUUCAGGCUGCUACUGAGGCGGUCCUGCCGCACUCAACCCAGAACCUCAUCACUAAAAGGAACCUCAUGGUUCAGGCUAGAGUGCAGUGGCGCGAUCUCGGCUCACUGAAACCUCCGCCUCCCAGGUUCAAGCAAUUCUCCUGCUUCAGCCUCCCAAGUAGCUAGGAGUACAGACAUGGUCUCACUCUGUUAUCCAGGCUAGAGUGCAGUGGUGUGAUCUCAGCUCACUUCAACCUCUGGCUCAAGUGAUCCUCCCACCUCAGCCUCCCCAAGUAGCUGGGACUACAGGCACACGCCACCAGGCCCAGAUAAUUUUUUGUAUUUUCAGUAAAAACAGGGUCUCGCCAUGUUGCCCAGACUGGUCUUAAACUCCUGAGCUCAAGCGAUGUGCCUGCCUUGGCCUCCCCAAGUGCUGGGAUUAGAGGCAUAAGCCACCAUGUCUGGCCCCCAGUGGCUUCUAAUCCGCCCUAUCUAUCCAUCAAGCCUGGGUGGGGUGGGCUUGCUCAGUGUCCUUCAGAUUCCUUCAUCAAUUAACUCUUUUGUGUACGAGGGUGUCCCAAAAGCAGCAGCCGCGAGUAGAAUUUGCCUUGGGUCAUUGCUGUAGUCUCCCGCAUCCAGGAAAGAUCUAGGCCGCUCGCUUUCCACAAACCUUCUGGCUGAAACAAGCCACUUACCUGGCUGCAGUGAAGACACUGAUGCCGCUACUGAAGCUGGAGUCACAGGAACCAUCUGGACCUCCUGGGAGAGGAAGAGGAACAAGGGGUCAUGAAAGGCUGUUGGCUCUCUUGAAUAAACAAGACCCCUGUGACAAGCACACACAGAACUCUCCAGAGCCCCAUACCUUGAUUCAGGCUCUUCAAAAGGACCAUGGCUCUGGAGCCCUGAGGACCCAACCAACGCCCAGUCAUUCUCGAUAGUCCCCAAGCUUGUAAGUCUGUAGUCACAGUGAUCUCACAAGGAGGGGACACCAGUGCUAAACACAUCUGUCAAAUCUCAGAAGGGAUCACUGGCCUGAGGGGAAUGGAUGUUUAAAAUGACAGAUAAUACCCAGCAUCCUUAGCUAUCAGGAAAAUGCAAAUCCAAACCACAAGAUACUACUGUACACCCAUCAGGAUGGCUAAAAUAAAAGACAAAUAAUAGCAAGUGUUGAUGAGAAUGUGGAGAAACUGGAACCCUCGUACAUUGCUGGUGGGAAUGUAAAAUGGUGCAAGCUGCUUUGGAGAACAGUCUGGCCAUUCCUCCAAAGGCUAAACAUAGUCACCACAUGACUCAGCAGCUCCACUCCUAGGUAUAUGCCAAAGAGAAAUGAAAACUUAUGGCCACAUGAAACCUUGUAUAUCAAUCAUGUUCACAUCAGCAUUAUCUACAAUAGCCAAAAAGCAGAAGCAACCCAAAUAUCUAUCAACAGAUGAAUGGAUAAAUGAGGUGUGGUAUAGCCAUACAAUGGACUAUUAUUUGGCAAUAAAAAGGGAUGAAGUACUGAUGCACGCCAUAAAAAUGAACUUUAAAAACAUUGUGUUAAGUGAAAGAAGCCAGUCAUAAAAGACUACAUAUUGUAUCCCUUUCUCGAAAGUGUUUAGAACAGGCAAACCUAUGGAGACGGAAAAUGGACUGGAGGUUGCCUAGGACUGGAGGAGACGGGGGAAUAGGGUAUAAUGGCUAAUGGAUUCUUUCAAGGGCACGGAAAAUAUUCUAAAAUUGAUUGUGGUGAUGGUUACAUAACCCUGUGAAUCUACAAAGUCACUGAAUUGUACACUUGAUGUUGGGUGAAUUGUGUGGUACAUGAAUUCUAUCUCAAUAAAGGGCUU
Homo sapiens (human) is the source of this 2243-nucleotide long non-coding RNA. Ensembl annotates it as VAC14 antisense RNA 1. Its record names the gene VAC14-AS1. The record is from Ensembl. NCBI's taxonomy places the organism in Eukaryota, Metazoa, Chordata, Mammalia, Primates, Hominidae.